Molecule: long non-coding RNA, 2099 nt
Organism: Vespa mandarinia (Asian giant hornet)
Lineage: Eukaryota; Metazoa; Arthropoda; Insecta; Hymenoptera; Vespidae
Source: RefSeq, a predicted model, not a curated record
UAAUAUAUUCCGUCUUUUCUGCAUUCAUUCUCAAUUUAUAUAUAUUCUUCCAUUCUUCUACUGUAUUAAAUGCUUUAUUCAUUUCUGUCUCUAACUGUAUACUACUUUUUCCAAUAACAUAAAUUAAUGUAUUAUCCGUAAACAUUUUUAUACUAUAUCAUUCAGAGAAUAUUUCAAUGAAUGACAAGAGUCCCGAUACAAAUCCUUGGGGCACUCCAUAUUCUAUGUUAAUUAAUUCAGACCAUUUAUCGUUGAAACCAAUCUGCUGCGUUCUAUUAUUUAAAUCAUUCUAAAACAAUACCUCUAAAAUUAUAUUGAUAUAAAUUUUCUAUUAAUCUCUUUCUAUCUACUAUUUCAAACAUUCACUUAAGAUUCAUAGAAAUAACAUCCAUAAUUGUUCUCUAGCUAACUAUUAAUUUCCAUUCAUCAACAACAGUUUGAAUCCAACCAUUUCACACGAAUAUUGUUUUCUUACAUCUAAUCAAUGUUCCGUUAUAAUACCAUUAAAUUCAAAAUACAUUUAUAUUUGCUUCUUCAUCACUAAUUCUAACACUUUCUCAUAUAUUGGUAAUCGAUCUAUAAUAAUUUGCUUUUUAGCUUUUUCUAUUUGUGGAAUCGGUCAGUCUUCUGAAAUGAUAUUUGACUAAAAAAAAUAAGAAUUCCGAUGAUGAAAAGAAAACUCUCUUCUACGGAAAUGCAAUAUAUUCUAAUAAAUGAAAAGUAAAUUAAUAUUGGUACACUAGGAUGUAAUCGUUAUUCGACUGGUAGACGCUGACUACCUUUUUAGGACUUCUUUUCUUUUGUCCGAUCUUUGUCUUGACGUGAAACACUCGAUCGCUAUUCGGCUAUUUACAUUAUUGGGCUGCUGCCUUACAUUCCCCUUGCAUACGUUAUCACACUCGCAUCACACUCUCUAUUUUAUAUUUAUAUAAAUAUUUCAUAUUUACCAGUUCAACUCAGCGAUUCAUUUGCUGAAUUAUAAACUUUAUGAAAAUUGUGGCAACUCGGAUGAAAAAUGUUCUACAAUGUAUGCAAUUAAUCAGCUGGGAUUUUAUUUCCUUUCUACACUGCCUACAUAUCUGUAUCCCAAACCGCGAGAUAUCCAUUUCUCAUUGUUAAAUUUUUCCUUAUCAACUAUUAAUUCGUAUCACGUUAAACGUCAUCAACAACAGCAGUGUUGCUCGAUGAGUCAGUAAGAGAAUUCUUUAAAUUUUCGUCAUCGCUUCGAUUUUGUAGGAUUUGAUAAAAAGCCUAUUGCAGGAUGCCUAGUUGGUUUUGCAGGAUGCUAGACUGGCUAAUAGAAUGUUAAAUGACUGGAAUUCGACUGUGAUGUUGUCUUCGAUAAAAAAAAGUUAGGGAAGAAAUGGACUUGAUGGAAGAAGAAGCGAUGACUUCGAUAAUAGGAGACUCUGGUGGUUUUAGCCAUUUCAAACAUCCAUUGGAAUAUGAUGCUUCAUUCAAUAGAACUCUAGGUGGGAAUGGAUGACUGAUGCCAAGAAUCUGGUAUGGGAUGCUAUAGAUCUGUCCCAAAUAAUAUGAGUAGGGGAGGAUACUCCCAGGACAACCAGGGAGGUCAACAUAUGAGUACUGAGGCGGUUACAAAAUAUCAACUAUAUGGGCGGAUUCAAACUGUUUUGGAGACGUUAAAGUUAUAUUCCACCCAGGCAGUGGAUACUAUGGUAGAUAGCGGAGAGUAUUUGGUAGAUGAAAUCAAGAAUACCAGCUUUUAACUUAAAAGACAAGCUAGCGGUAGAAGCUUCUUGUUUAGAUCUAUUUUCUAAAUUGAAGAAGAGCGAUAAGAUACUGCAUGGCUAUGACCAAUGAAGGAGUUCGCAUUAAUAAGGAGAUACCGUUUUGUCAGUUAAGCGACGGAGAUGAUGGAAUCUGUAAUGAUCACCACAAAAGAUUGGGCAAAGGCUAUAAUCAAUAACCUAAAAGAAGUAUUGAGCUGGCAAAAGAAGAAGAUCAGAAAUGGAGAAAAUUCAGAUGUCUACGUGUAGGGAAGCUUCAUACAAUGAUAUUAAUUAUUGUAGCUACGAACGUGUAAACAUUAAAAAUAAAAUUUUGUGUUUAUCAACAAACCCCCUAAGUGAUAUUUU